Molecule: ribosomal RNA, 570 nt
Filed under: Beauveria bassiana
Lineage: Eukaryota; Fungi; Ascomycota; Sordariomycetes; Hypocreales; Cordycipitaceae
Description: eukaryotic LSU rRNA
Rfam family: 5.8S ribosomal RNA (bases 207-360)
Source: RNAcentral
GUCGUAACAAGGUCUCCGUUGGUGAACCAGCGGAGGGAUCAUUACCGAGUUUUCAACUCCCAAACCCUUAUGUGAACCUACCUAUCGUUGCUUCGGCGGACUCGCCCCAGCCGGACGCGGACUGGACCAGCGGCCGCCGGGGACCAUCAAACUCUUGUAUUAUCAGCAUCUUCUGAAUACGCCGCAAGGCAAAACAAAUAAAUUAAAACUUUCAACAACGGAUCUCUUGGCUCUGGCAUCGAUGAAGAACGCAGCGAAAUGCGAUAAGUAAUGUGAAUUGCAGAAUCCAGUGAAUCAUCGAAUCUUUGAACGCACAUUGCGCCCGCCAGCAUUCUGGCGGGCAUGCCUGUUCGAGCGUCAUUUCAACCCUCGACCUCCCUUUGGGGAAGUCGGCGUUGGGGACCGGCAGCACACCGCCGGCCCUGAAAUGGAGUGGCGGCCCGUCCGCGGCGACCUCUGCGUAGUAAACCAACUCGCCCCGGAACCCCGACGUGGCCACGCCGUAAAACACCCAACUUCUGAACGUGACCUCGAAUCAGGUAGGACUACCCGCUGAACUUAAGCAUAUCA